AUUGAACGCUGGCGGAAUGCUUUACACAUGCAAGUCGAACGGCAGCACGGACUUCGGUCUGGUGGCGAGUGGCGAACGGGUGAGUAAUGUAUCGGAACGUGCCCAGUCGUGGGGGAUAACGUAGUGAAAAUUACGCUAAUAACGCAUACGAUCUAUGGAUGAAAGCGGGGGAUCGCAAGACCUCGCGCGAUUGGAGCGGCCGAUAUCAGAUUAGGUAGUUGGUGGGGUAAAGGCCCACCAAGCCAACGAUCUGUAGCUGGUCUGAGAGGACGACCAGCCACACUGGAACUGAGACACGGGCCAUACUCCUACGGGAGUCAGCAGUGGGGAAUUUUGGACAAUGGGCGAAAGCCUGAUCCAGCCAUUCCGCGUGCAGGAUGAAGGCCCUCGGGUUGUAAACUGCUUUUGUACAGAACGAAAAGGUUUCUACUAAUACUAGGAGCUCAUGACGGUACUGUAAGAAUAAGCACCGGCUAACUACGUGCCAGCAGCCGCAGUAA
This 500-nucleotide ribosomal RNA is filed under the name uncultured bacterium. Its description in RNAcentral is "partial 16S ribosomal RNA". It matches the Rfam family "Bacterial small subunit ribosomal RNA", at positions 30 to 523 of the family's 1533-position model. The record is from RNAcentral.